CGGCCCGUAGCUCAGCGGUCGAGAGCGCCCGGCUGUAGAACGGGCGGUCCCGGGUUCGAAUCCCGGCGGGCCGA
Molecule: non-coding RNA, 74 nt
Filed under: Pyrobaculum sp.
Lineage: Archaea; Thermoproteati; Thermoproteota; Thermoprotei; Thermoproteales; Thermoproteaceae
Description: tRNA-Tyr
Rfam family: tRNA
About the family: Transfer RNA (tRNA) molecules are approximately 80 nucleotides in length.
Source: RNAcentral